AUGGAGGGUGAAGAUUCAUUUGAAAAAUAUGUUAUGAGGUUUGGAAAUAUAACGUCAAGGCUUACAAGUUUUAUGUUUUACCAUGGUCAUGAGGAAUGGUCAAAAGAAAGCGAAGUUGUGAUGGGGCAAAACGGUUGUUUGAAGUUGGUUGAAAUGCGGAGCAAUUUGGAAUAUAAGUCUAGGAUUUUUGUAGUCUUUUCUUUUGAUGUAAUGUAUUGGAUACUUGGAUGUAAUGGUCCUUAG
Vicia faba (fava bean) is the source of this 243-nucleotide non-coding RNA. NCBI's taxonomy places the organism in Eukaryota, Viridiplantae, Streptophyta, Magnoliopsida, Fabales, Fabaceae. The record is from the annotation of a GenBank genome assembly.